AUCAUUUAGCGGAGGAAAAGAAACUAACAAGGAUUCCCUUAGUAACGGCGAGUGAACGGGGAGAAGCCCAGCGCUGAAUCUUUCGGUGUUACACCGUUAAGAAAUGUAGCGUAUAGGUGUGGUUUUCAGUUUGUGCUGCAUGUCCAAAGUCCCUUUGAUAGGGGCCACAUUCCUGAGAGGGUGCGAGACCUGUGCGGACAGUGGAGCAAGCUGUACGAUCAUACCUUGGAGUCGGGUUGCUUGAAAGUGCAGCCUAAAGUGGGUGAUAAACUUCAUCUAAGGCUAAAUAUAGACGCGAAUUCGAUAGCAAACAAGUACUGUGAAGGAAAGUUGCAAAGAACUUUGAAGAGAGAGUUCAAGAGAACGUGAAAUCGCUGGAGUGGAACCGGAGAGAGUUGACGUAGCCGGGUAACUAAGUCUACUAAUGUCGCUUAAUUGUGACUGCGGGAGAUGUAUGUUGCCUAUGGCUGCGCUGACAGCGCUGGCCGUGCGUUCCGAACCGUUUAGCGUUGCCCACCGUUUCGGCGGUGGUGUCUUGCUGGCGGAUAGGUUUGUCGUGGCUAGCGUUUUUGCCCUACUUCAUUGUAGGGUGUCAGUGUGAAAGUCGACCACCUCUCCGAC
RNAcentral lists this ribosomal RNA (621 nucleotides) under Heligmosomoides polygyrus corsicum. Its description in RNAcentral is "eukaryotic LSU rRNA". It matches the Rfam family "Eukaryotic large subunit ribosomal RNA", at positions 42 to 648 of the family's 3401-position model. Lineage: Eukaryota; Metazoa; Nematoda; Chromadorea; Rhabditida; Heligmosomidae. The record is from RNAcentral.